UGUCAUAAACGGUGAUAGGGAGCUGCUGUGUUAUGCAUCCACUGUUGAGGUGAAGGCCAUCAAAGUUCUGGGCUGGAUGGAAGCAUGAACUACAUGAACUCUCACAAUGGAAAGUAGCCCUGGUAGUCUCCCAGGUCGACUUCCAUCACAAGAAUACCAAGACUUGAACAAUUCAGGAUUUGAUGGAAUCUAUAAACACACGACAGAGGAUUUGGGCUUGUUAAAAAAUAACUUAAUAUGUAACCGUUUUAGUUCCCAUAUUAACUACUUUGAUCAGUAACUGUAGCAGCAUGUCCUUCAUAGCUCUUAGUGGAGGCGUUUAGGCUCAAUACAAAGGUUAGGAAAAAAAAGGCCAGAUUUGAGAUUAUUCUAAAUUUCCUGACAGUCUUACAUGCAGAUAUUGUUUUUCAUAGUCAUGUUUUUGGCUUCAUCCAUUUCAUUAGCCAGUUUUUAUUUAUUUUAUUUUUUAUGCAGCCCGUUUUAUGGUAAUACAUGGAUUGUUUACUGGGAAAAACCUGGGGAAUUAAUGGAGUUCUUUCAGUCUUAAUUUCAACAAUAAAAGCAAUCCUUGUGGAAAA
Long non-coding RNA from Fundulus heteroclitus (mummichog), 578 nucleotides. RefSeq lists it as uncharacterized. NCBI's taxonomy places the organism in Eukaryota, Metazoa, Chordata, Actinopteri, Cyprinodontiformes, Fundulidae. The record is from RefSeq and is a predicted model, not a curated record. The transcript has 2 exons.